Molecule: long non-coding RNA, 1764 nt
Organism: Solanum pennellii
Lineage: Eukaryota; Viridiplantae; Streptophyta; Magnoliopsida; Solanales; Solanaceae
Exons: 2
Source: RefSeq, a predicted model, not a curated record
UAGGAUCAUUGUGUAAAUAUUAAAAAUUAAAGGAUUAGAUAUCAAGAAGGUAGGUAGAGUAGUUAUAACCAUAUACUUCACUUCUGUGUAUAUAUAUAUACAUAUGUACAGAACUUAUGAGUAUCAAUGUAAGCAGUUCAUAAAUUUGUUAAUUCCUCUCUUCCUCUCUUCUUCGCAUCUUCUCUUCUUCUCUGCAUCUAUGCUUGCCAUUUACAUCAAGCUAUCAUCUUCAAGGUAGCUAACAGAGCUUUGCAUUUACUUUUAACUCUUUUAUUUUUCAAUUCACGUACAAAAAAGACUAAAAUUGCCUAGAAUAGCUAGGUGUGUUGUAGUAUAAAAAUCAAGAUAUCUAUCGUUUUUUAACUCGAUAAAUAGAAUUUAUUACUCGAGUAAAUAAUUAUUAGGAUACACUAUUAAUCAUAUAUAUUGAUACAAUAUUAUUAUUAUUUAGAAUAUACUAUAAUAUAGAUCCACUAUGAUUCCAUAUUUCUACUCAGUUAUUUUAUUGCUAUCCAGAUCAAUUCAAUUCAUAGAAGUUUGAUAGGAUAUUGUUUUUUUUUUUUUUUGUAUGGCCUAUUUUCAUAUGGUGAUGAUGAAAAAUGAACAUAUUCUAUGGGUUUCUUCCUUGAGGCUCCAUAUUAUGGUUUAGGAUAAUUACAUCGGCUGUCUGUCUACUUUGACUCAAAACUUCUUUACCUCGAAUUGACUCGUAAGAUAUUUUGUCAAAAUCUUUUAAUUUUUUUUCAAUUGGAUAUGUCAUAUAUAUGAUCAUAAAAAAGAGAAAAAAAAAAGUAAUUUUUAUUAGAUAUUAAAAUAUAUUAGUUCAAAAGAACGACUAAAAUAAUCAAAUUUAGUAAAAAUUGGGUUGGCUUGGGUCUUGACACGUUUUAUGACUCAUGAUCUAACCUUUUCUGACCCAAGUAAACUUGGAUUGGGUUGGAUCUUGAUUAGAUUAACUAUCAUGACGCACCUAAAUUUAAACCAACCAGUCCAAUUGUCACCCUUAUCAAUGACUUCUCAAAUAAUUUCCAUCAUAGCAACUUUACUUUUUAGAUUUGCCACAGAAUAUUUCCUAUGUAGCUAGUUACAUAAUUGUUAGUUUCGUCUUCGAAUUAUUGAUAGUCUUAAAAACAAUUAGCUAUAUGACUAAUUAAACCUAAAUACACAACUCUCAUAAGUCAUAUCAUACACAUAAAUAGAAGUGCUAUGCACGCACGUUCACAUGAAUUUUCUGUUGGCGUGACAUAUACAUAAAUCUAUCGUACGAUAUGAGGGGCGUUUUAAGCAUUGCCUAUUUUGUUUAUUUCAUUUAUACACUAUAUAAUGUAAAAAUCUAUAUAAACAAUGUAUUAUAAUGUAUGGAAGUGUAUAUACAGUGUUAUAUAAUUUUUUGAAAAAUUGAAGAGAAUUGUACAGUGGCUAAAAACAUAAAGAUAAAUAGAUUUGGCUUCAUGAAAUUCAAUGUAAACAUUUGUUGGCUAUUCUAAAUACAAUAAAAACAUUGGACUAUGCAAAUUGCAACUUAAACUGUUUGCUUAUGCAUUAUAUAUCCCUCAAUGUACUAAAGAACAAUUUUUCCCUCAGUGAAAGUAUUAAGAGAAUAACACAAAGUAGUGGUAAUUCAUUUCAACCAGCAGGAGGCCCUCAAGGCUGAAUGAUGAAAUAAAGCAUGUACAGAUUUCAUACUUAUUGGCCAACGACAAACUAUUACAGAAAAUUCGGAGUGUAUGAUCUAUUUUUCCUGCCUGUGCAUGCCAUAUAGUU